UACGAAGGGGGCUAGCGUUGCUCGGAAUCACUGGGCGUAAAGCGCACGUAGGCGGCUUUCUGAGUCAGGGGUGAAAUCCUGGAGCUCAACUCCAGAACUGCCUUUGAUACUGGAGAGCUUGAGUCCGGAAGAGGUGAGUGGAACUCCGAGUGUAGAGGUGAAAUUCGUAGAUAUUCGGAAGAACACCAGUGGCGAAGGCGGCUCACUGGUCCGGUACUGACGCUGAGACGCGAAAGCGCGGGGAGCGAACGGG
RNAcentral lists this ribosomal RNA (253 nucleotides) under uncultured bacterium. RNAcentral's name for it is "partial 16S ribosomal RNA". It matches the Rfam family "Bacterial small subunit ribosomal RNA", at positions 524 to 776 of the family's 1533-position model. The record is from RNAcentral.